RNAcentral lists this unclassified non-coding RNA (242 nucleotides) under Hevea brasiliensis (rubber tree). Lineage: Eukaryota; Viridiplantae; Streptophyta; Magnoliopsida; Malpighiales; Euphorbiaceae. The record is from RNAcentral.
GAGCUUCAACUUCUAUGCGAAUACGUAAAAGAGAUCCUUAUUGAGGAGUCCAAUGUGCAGCCUGUUAACAGUCCAGUCACUGUUUGUGGUGAUAUUCAUGGCCAGUUUCAUGAUCUAAUGAAACUUUUCCAGACUGGAGGUCACGUUCCUGAGACAAAUUACAUUUUUAUGGGAGAUUUUGUUGACCGAGGUUACAAUAGUCUUGAAGUUUUCACUAUUCUUUUGCUUCUUAAAGCAAGAUA